Molecule: ribosomal RNA, 913 nt
Filed under: uncultured Bacillota bacterium
Lineage: Bacteria; Bacillati; Bacillota
Description: bacterial SSU rRNA
Rfam family: Bacterial small subunit ribosomal RNA
Source: RNAcentral
GGAUCAGACUUUGAUCCUGGCUCAGGACGAACGCUGGCGGCGUGCUUAACACAUGCGAGUCGAACGAAGCUUGAUUACGGAUUCUUCGGAUGAAGUAUGAUAUGACUGAGUGGCGGACGGGUGAGUAACGCGUGAGUAACCUGCCCUUCAGAGGGGGAUAGCGUUUGGAAACGAACGGUAAUACCGCAUAAUGUAUUUUGACCGCAUGGUCGAAAUACCAAAGAUUUAUCGCUGAAGGAUGGACUCGCGUCUGAUUAGGUAGUUGGUGGGGUAACGGCCUACCAAGCCGACGAUCAGUAGCCGGACUGAGAGGUUGAUCGGCCACAUUGGGACUGAGACACGGCCCAGACUCCUACGGGAGGCAGCAGUGGGGAAUAUUGCACAAUGGGCGCAAGCCUGAUGCAGCAACGCCGCGUGAAGGAAGACGGUUUUCGGAUUGUAAACUUCUGUUCUUAGUGAAGAAUAAUGACGGUAGCUAAGGAGCAAGCCACGGCUAACUACGAGCCAGCAGCCGCGGUAAUACGUAGGUGGCAAGCGUUGUCCGGAAUUACUGGGUGUAAAGGGAGCGCAGGCGGGUGAUCAAGUCAGCUGUGAAAACUACGGGCUUAACCCGUAGACUGCAGUUGAAACUGUUCAUCUUGAGUGAAGUAGAGGUUGGCGGAAUUCCGAGUGUAGCGGUGAAAUGCGUAGAUAUUCGGAGGAACACCGGUGGCGAAGGCGGCCAACUGGGCUUUAACUGACGCUGAGGCUCGAAAGUGUGGGGAGCAAACAGGAUUAGAUACCCUGGUAGUCCACACUGUAAACGAUGAUUGCUAGGUGUGGGGGGUCUGACCCCUUCCGUGCCGGAGCUAACGCAAUAAGCAAUCCACCUGGGGAGUACGACCGCAAGGUUGCAACUCAAAUGAAUUGACGG